RNAcentral lists this ribosomal RNA (408 nucleotides) under uncultured bacterium. RNAcentral describes it as "partial 16S ribosomal RNA". It matches the Rfam family "Bacterial small subunit ribosomal RNA", at positions 28 to 526 of the family's 1533-position model. The record is from RNAcentral.
GACGAACGCUGGCGGCGUGCUUAACACAUGCAAGUCGAACGAAGUGGCGAACGGGUGAGUAACGAGUAAUCAACCUGCCCUUCAGAGGGGGACAACAGUUGGAAACGACUGCUAAUACCGCAUAAUGAAGGAGGGGAUUGCGUCUGAGUAGCUAGUGGGAGGGGUAACGGCCCACCAAGGCGAUGAACAGUAGCCGGUCUGGGAGGAUGAACGGCCACAUUGGGACUGAGAGCCGGCCCAGACUCCUACGGGAGGCAGCAGUGGGGAAUCUUCCGCAAUGUGCGAAAGUCUUACGGAGCAACUCCGCGUGGGGGAUGACGGCCUUCGGGUUGUAAAGCUCUGUUAAUCGGGACGCGGUACCGGAAUAGAAAGCCACGGCUAACUACGUGCCAGCAGCCGCGGUAAUAC